UCUGUUAAGUCAGAGGCGAAAUCCCCGAGUUUAAAAUUAGGAACUGCAUUUUGAAACUGGCACUCGUAGAGGGAGGGUAAUGCCAGGUCUAGCGGUGAAAUGCGUAGAGAUAUGAAAGAAUACCGGUGGCGAAGGCGGGCCCCGUAGCCGAAGACUAACGCUCAGGUACGAAAGCGUGGGCAGCAAAAAAAAAUUAGAUACC
This 202-nucleotide ribosomal RNA is filed under the name Sodalis-like symbiont of Philaenus spumarius. Its description in RNAcentral is "partial 16S ribosomal RNA". It matches the Rfam family "Bacterial small subunit ribosomal RNA", at positions 579 to 786 of the family's 1533-position model. Lineage: Bacteria; Pseudomonadati; Pseudomonadota; Gammaproteobacteria; Enterobacterales; Bruguierivoracaceae. The record is from RNAcentral.